GCUUUGAUGGAGUUGAAAUUCAUGGCGCCCAUGGCUACCUAAUCGAUCAGUUUUUAAAAGAUCAAGUAAAUGAUCGAACAGACCAAUACGGUGGAUCUCUAGAAAACCGUUGCCGAUUUGCACUAGACAUUGUUGAAGCUCUUGUCAACGAGAUAGGAGCAGCCAAAGUUGGAAUCAGAUUAUCUCCAUUUGCCGACUAUAUGGAAUCCGGAGAUUCUAAUCCAAAGGAGUUGGGACUUUAUCUAGCCAAUGCCUUAAACAUGUAUGGGAUCCUGUACUGCCACAUGAUUGAGCCAAGAAUGAAGACGGUUGGAGAAAAAUGUGAAUGUCCCCACAGUCUCGUACCCAUGAGAAAGGCUUUCAAUGGUACCUUCAUUGCUGCUGGUGGUUUUGACAUGGAAGAUGGGAAUAAUGCUGUAGCUGAGGACCGUGCAGAUCUUAUUGCUUUUGGUCGUUGGUUCUUGGCUAAUCCGGAUUUGCCAAAGAGAUUUGAGCUUAAUGCUCCUCUAAAUAAGUACAUCAGAGAUACUUUCUACACAUCUGAUCCGGUUCUUGGUUACACUGAUUAUCCAUUUCUUGACAGCACCACUCGCGUUUCGAGCUGACAAGGGAAGCUUGAACUCUCUUAUUUUACUCCUGCAUUGGUCUACAUUGAAGCUUUGCUGUUGCUUUUCUUUCACCGCAAUGUUGUAAUCAAAUAAAAAUAGUUCUCAAUUGGUGUAGUGUAGCUGUUUGAUAUUGUAAGUUGUGGUCUCUGCAAGUACCCUGUCAAGUGUUUCAUUGUAUGUAGCUUGUGGCUAUGCGAAGAUGCAACUGAUUGUAGCCUUGUACGAGAUGAAUUCAAUAAAGAUGGCCUGUCUUUUGGCUCUGUAAUGAUCAUUCCGGCUUGAACUGAAAAAUUUGAGACAUUUUUUUCUUCUCUUAACUAGAAAAAAGAAGGGAAAAAAAACGGAACAAAAUUUACGUCUGUGCCAACAGGUGCACAACGUCACUCUCUGGAUCCUUUCGCUCGAAUCGAAUUCCAAGUUCCCAACACAAAAGGAAGACCUCAAUUAUGAUAUUCCCGCGUUUCAUCCAGAACCUAGCCCCUAUUUAAGGAUCUUCAAUUUUAAUGAAAUGUUUCUCUUUCAUGGGCAGUAUAGGAAGUUCAAUUAAUCGGGGAACUUCAAUUUAUAUGAGUAGGGCGAGCGAUUGUUUUGUUGCAAGUUGGACCUAUCAGUGUCUGAAAGGAAACUCCCACCUGGAUCAGUAUUGCCAUGAAAUGAAACCAGAGUAGUAGCCAUAUGACUUUGAAUUCAUAAUUCUAAUUUGUUGUAUUCUCAGUUUAUUAAUUUGAGUGCGAAAACUUGAAUUAUACACCGUCUAAAUACAUUUGUUAAGGGGUAACAUGUAAUUUAAUUGUAGAAAAGAAAACAAAAAAGGUACUCACAUCUUAUCUUCAAAAAAAUAACACCAACAUAAAGAGUGCACAUCACAUAAGAAAUAAACGUCACUUGAGCAGCCAAUAUUGACAUAGUAUUCGUGAUAUGAAGCCGUUUAGAGUGCGUUCCAUGAACAUUAGAACAGUUGCAAAUUUGGAACAGUUUCAUGCACCUUAUAAAAGAGAAGAAAAGUACAACCAUAAACUUUACCAAACAGCAUAAGCAGUGAGUUUCAUGCACCUUAAAUCGUUUGUUUUGCUUAUAUUAGUAUUUGUGUUAGAGGUUAUUCGUACUAUAUAGCCGACAUUGCUAGUCUUUCAGUUUUUUGUACCUUUUUUAUUUUAGGGAAAAUGUCUUAAUACACAAAAACUGUUCUAGGAUAUUUUGUAUCUUUCUAGAUAUUCUUUAUAUGUGUCUUGACCUUAUGCCAUUAGGAUAUGUAGUUUGACUAGAUUUAUGUAUUCAUAUCCUUACCAUAUUGGUAUUGUGUAAUUCCCUAUAUAAAGGGCUCCUAUCAAUGAAUAAGAUGAUGAUUCUCUUGCUAUCUCUUUGUCUAUACACUUUAUACUUCAUCACGUUAUCAUGCACUUUGUUCUAACCCUAGAGCCAAUAAGCCAUCAUUUGUUUUCCAAAUCCUAAAAUCGGGCAGCCUUGUUUUUCCCGAUUUUCGACUAAAAUUCCGACUGCCCUCCGCCGAAAUUUUAUAUCCCCAGAAAGCUCUCUCCGCCCCGGAUCCAACGCCGCCGGCCUCACCCUGAGAACCGGCCGGAAAGUCUCCAAACCGGCCGCCGGAAGAUUCCAGACCGCCGCCGCUACCGACCACCGGUUCACCACCUUCCCUUGCUCUAAUCAACCUGAAUUUUUGACUGAAGCUUCCCCAUCCAGAGCUGCUCCUCCUAUCAAAUUUUCAGCCCCAAAUUCGAAGUAUAAGUAGGCGAAACGUUGUUUCUCCUCUCUGCAGCCUCUAGAAACCAAAGAUUUCAAGAUUGCUCGUCUUCUAAGGAAACCAGAAAGGUAUGUUUUGAAACCUUAAACUUUUCCAAGUUCAAUAACUUGGGGAGGAUAAAAUCCUUUCCUCCCUUCUCCAUCUCCAUUCUAUGCUUGGGAUUUUGUGUGUGCAGGUACUAAAAAUCCCGGAAUUUUAUUCGCGGGUCAAGAGUGUGUUUGAUCACUUUUGCUUCCUUGUCCGGGUUGUGUAUGAUCAACCCCGACCUUUCUCCGGAUUGUGUUUGAUCAAUCCGAGGCCUUUUCCGAAUUGUGUUUGAUCAAUUCGCGGCUUUUUCCGGAUUGUGUAUGAUCAAUCCGAAGGACAAACCAUUAAAAGCAUUGUUUGUGACCUCUAUCGAGUCUCAUAACAACUUGGUUUUGUAUGCAAGAGUAAUGUAACAUUCUGCUCAUUUGAGUUUUGACGCACUCGAUGCCUAAGGCGAAUCUUGGCUUGGUAUUUGUGGAACCUUUCAUUGCAAAGGAUUAAACCACAUGUUUUGACCCCCAGGCUAACAAGCCUAGAUGCCGAGAUUUCAUAUCUCAUGCACUCAAAGUCUUUGACGUGUCACAUCGACAAAAGUAAUGACCACAAAGUACUGUGGAAUGCACUCAUGGAGCGUUUCUUGAAACGUUCAUAUAACUCUACUUGUUGAGUUAUUAGUCAAGUGGAUUGAUUACCACCUUAAUUGACUAUAUAUUGUCGAUGAUCUUUUAUGGCAUCAUGAUCCAUAAUCUUUAGCGGAUUCGAUCAUCAUCAAGUUCUCUAGGUCCUCCAAGUUGGUGUGGAAUUACCAACAAGACUUGAUUUUGAUCAUACAAACGGGAAUUGUAUAUACGCUAAUGUGAUAACUUAUUUGGGAUUAUCCCCUAAUGUGGGGACAACAAUAUGGGUCAUGGCAACGGCAGAAAACGUCGUGCCGAUGUCUAGAAAAGAGGGGGAGGUGUCGCCGGCUCUAAUAGCGACACUCCCGGUCUAGACACCAUUUUGUCAAAACUACUCACGUCAGCUCAUGACAAUACAACUGUUGUGGAUCUUUGAAUCACUGAUUCAAGAUUGUCAAGCUUCUUCAAAUUGUGAAUGCAUACAAAAAGGUAUAGAAAAUCAAUAUGAGGACAAGAACGUCAUCCUCAUGAUCGCGAAUUUCAAAGAUUCGGAUCCUACUCUAGCUACCCAUGACUUUGACGUCAUCAACUAGACAUUGAUUUUCGUUCCAAGCUAUAUGUACUAAGGCGUUGUAUUGACGUCCUUCGUCUAUUUGAGACCUCGAUGUACUCACAUUAGCAAUAACGAAUGCCUUGAGAAUUUUUUCGAAGUUAUGAAACUAUUCUCCUCUUAUGGUUCGUAAGCACUACCGACCCUCCACGGACAUGCCCGGUCAUACUGACUUGGAGUUACCGAAAGCUUUUGAUUUUGGAUCCCCCUAUGCUAUUAAACCAAUUGCUGUCUUACAAAAGACGUUGAAGACUUAUCAAAACCGGCAAAUUAUCAUCAUGAUCGAAUCCUCUAGGUCCUCUGAGUUGGUUUAUGUUCAUGUCAGGAAGCUUUUGCUAACUAGUCAUGGAGUUUACGACCUUAGAAUGACCGAAAGGACUUGGUUUUGAUCAUACACACGUCAUUUUUGGCUAAGGCAAAAACCUACACGCCACCUGCAAGCUUCACAGAUUCGCACAUGCCAAUUUUGCAAAAAAACAGCAAUCUGUCCCUUCUGGACAGUCAAUUUCGUUUGAGCUUUGUGAACAGCUCCGGACAAACCAGACAGUGAGCUUUAUAUCAUUGGAAAGCUCUACGAGUCUAGUUUUCAGAACAUUUUGCGGUUCAUCUAUAUCUAUUUUAACGAAGAAGUUAUGGCUGUUUUAGUGCGCAAAGGUCAUUCUGCGCGGAAAUUUUUAUGCACUCUCGGGAUUGCAGCUUUUUGUAGCUUCGUUCAAUCCUUCUAAAUGGUUCAAGUGGAACUAUUUACUCUCUUAUCUACUCUAUUUUGUAGAUCUGUCUCAUCGAGACAUUGAGUGCUUCGCAGAUAGUGGAACUAUCCAUAACAUUCUAAGGAAUUGGCAACUAUCUUUGGAUUUUGUGCCUUUGUAAAUCUUCUGUGACUAUAAUGAUUGAAUCAUACCGGUCAUUCAGAGACACGGUUUAGCUUGAAUCUUGAUGCCUCAUGGCACCAUGAUCAAUGUCACAGAUACCCUCUAUGCAUUGAGAGGCAAUCGAACCAUAUUGAGCUUUAAAGACAUUCAUGCUAAUAGUUUUCAUUUGAAAACACAUUGUGAGAAUGAACCAGAAUUCUUUUGUGUAUACCUUCUCAUGAAUGCGGACUGAAGCGCAUCUUGGAGAAAUUCAUGAGUCAAUCUAGUGGACUGUAUGUCACUACGAUUCGAAUAUCGAAUCCCAUGUUAUCGCCAAACAUGAUAUUUGGGACACCGACUCAUAUAGGCUUUGGUUUGACCAAAUUGGUCAACCUGGAAGAGAUAUAAUGGUCCAAAUUUUGAGAAAUUCUCAUGGACAUCCAUUCUUCCGCUCAAAACGAAGACAUUCGAGAUCUAGCAUCACCAUGAAGCAUGGUGGUGACCUGGGGGACAUUGACGUCACCCAAACACGACUCCAAUUUCCUAGAGGUCGUCCGGUCAAUUCUUCAAGCAAUUGAGGUGCACCGGCCUUCCCUCGAUGUCGCAUUGGCCCCCUGCAAUGCUCAUUACUCGUUUUGAAAGCCUAUUCUUUAGCUAAAUUAGGAGUAAGACCCUCCUACGCUAAAUAACACAAAAGUGAACAUUCUAUUCUUACAUAAAAUUAUGUAGAUAGAUACAACCAACUUGCGGACACCUUUUAUGCUUUAUGGUGUUGGUUGAAGUGUUAGCACACUGGUCACGUGUUAGUUGUUACACUAUUAUCUACUGCUUAUGCUGCUUAUACUUCUACGGGCUCACUACCCAUUCUUUAAAGAAGUUUAUUGGGAUGUAAGUUGAAGUGUCCUGUACCCCAUGUUCACACACAAUACGGUCUCACCGAGGCUACGACUAAGCAACUUUAGCUUGUCGCUCGAACAUUAUUGAUGCGCACUAAUCUUUCUAUUGCGUCUUGGGGCUAUGCAAUAUUUGCAUGCAGCUUUACUAUUCAUCUACGACCCACUAUCAUUGAAUAUUUUUGUACUACAGCUCGUGACUGUGUACCAGGAUUGCAAUCCUUGAGCUCAAACAAGAUUGAAACGGAUCUCCAAUCCUUGAGCUCGGCUAGAUGUUAUUUCUAGGUGUCAAAUCGCAUUGCCACUGCGUACAAUGAUGGGUCAUUUGAGAUGAAUAAAUAUUUAGGUUGGAUGUGAACCUCCACCUAUAAUCCACAUAUGUAGAAACCUUGCCAGACGAUCUCUUUCACCGCUAUAUUGCGGAUGGUCAUUUUGAUGAGACAAUUUUCCCGCCAUUAGGGGGAGAUAAGAACACAAGUGUUCAAGUGGAAGGACGUGAAUUGUCGUGGUUUGUCCCCACUAAGUCUCAUCUUGAUCCCAAAUGCUUAAAGUGUUAAAGUGACGAGAUCACAUGCUGCAAAUAUGUCUGCAAGGAUUGAUGUCCUACAAAAGGACAUGGUGCGACCAAAAGGUGUUGGUCUUGACGCCAUCACCAUGGAUAGUGAUAUAGUGACGCCAUAUAGUGGCAAAAUUGGUGUCACAAGGCCGUGUGGCUCCCCAAAAGGAGGGAGACCCUUAGGUUCGAUACUUUCUUGCACUAAGAAGAAAGCGAGCUUGGCACAACCUAAUCCAUUGAUUAGUGAUACUCAAAUCCGUCUCAUGAAGUCUGAAUUGUGAUUAUCGUUAGGGGACGCCUCAAUGUCAAAUCCAAUCCAUAUAGAGAUCUCUACAAGUAUUACACUAGUGUACAUGAGGACAUGGGAUAAUGAGUCUACUAUCGAACCACCCUUCGUUGAUCCACCCUUCGUUGAUGGAUAUCAACUUAGUUGAUUGGCCUAAUGGAAAGAUGCAAUCCAGCAUUAACAAAGAGAUAGGUCCUUGGGCAGGUGAUGCCGACACCGCAAGCUAAACCCUAUCAACUAUACUUUUGUUAGAUAGCGUAGUGAGAAUAAGAGUUUAGACUCACCUUAUGGUGCAAUGUCUCUCACUAUCACGCACUGGGAUCGACUACGAUGAGAUGUUCUCUCGUAAUGGAUGUCAUUGAACUCCACUACUUUGUCAGUUUGGUAGUUUCCGAAUAACUGAACAUGCAGCCUAUGAAUGUGGUCAUAAUAACAUCUCUAUGGGAUCAGAGAUAUACAUGAAGAUCUUACACAGACUUCAUUCAUCUGAAUCAAGUGGCUCUAGACCACAGGAGCACGCGUUUGCUAAAUGUAUUGAAAUGCACAUGGACUCUACUUGAUUUGGAAGGGAUAUGGUGAAUUAUGUCUUUGCGUGUUCAUUCCAGAUUUACAUGGACUCUUGAUGGAUCAAGUGAUGCCAAUAUGUAUCAACAUCCGAAGAAAAAGAUCUUGGGAAUACACGGUCUCGAUAAGGCACUCGAUGACUGUAUUGAUGAUGAUUUUCCAUCAAUCGGCUUAGGCGCUCUAUAACUAGUGAGGCCUACAUAUACUCACAUGAUUAGUCAAGGUCUUUGCUCUAAAGAGAGAUCCGUUGUAUUGUCUAAAGCAAGAUGACAAAUAUGUGUUAAGAGAUGGAGUUCCCAUCUAAGUACAAUAAGACGCAUCAAUGUACUCAACACAAUACGAAAGACUUGACAUCUCAUUCGCUAUGAAAAGUUGUAAAGCUAAGUGUAGCUAUGCGUCCACGCAACGCCAAUGUAAUGGCAGUAACUCCUUUUUCAAUACUUAAUGGUAUGAAAGGUUGAGGCUAAUUCUAUCCCUACAUAAGAAAGACACAUCAAAAGCGAAAUCAGAAUCUGCCAAGUUUCAUAGGUCAACUUCCACAGGACCUAUAAGAAGUCUCACUCACUGGAAAAUGGUGAAAUUGGUACCAUUGGAAAGGUUUAUGUGUCUACUUUCCAGGGACACCAACCAUUUGAUCAUACCUAUCAUAUUGAGUGAGUUAUGGCCGUUUUCGUAAAGUAGGACUAAUCUGUCCGAGAAUCUGAUUUUGGCAAAACAGUCAACCUCGACGGGACUUGGUGAAUAGCUCCUGACGAACCAGAACGUGUGUAAUAUACAGUUGGAAAGCUAAAUGAGUCUAUUUUCCAAAACCGUUUACGGUUCGUUCAUAUGUAUUUCCUAGAGGAAGUUACGGCUGUUCUAGUAACUGAAGGUCAUGCUACGCGGAACUUAUGUUUUGAGUUCACAAGCGACCUUCUCCUCAAGAUCUAAGUGUAAAGGAUCAUUUGAGGACAAACCGGCAUGAUUUAGUUAAUCAUUGCCCAAUGUCACAUUUGAAGACAUGUUAAAGAGCAUUGACAUGCUAAGUUGUUGAAACUUCCGUGAUUAGUAAGAAUCAGGAAGAGCCCUAUGAUUGAUGUAAAGAUCAGGGGGAGGUGCAAACUUCAGGGGGAGUCUAGCACAUACAUACAUGUCACUAUCAAAUGUGAAGGGUGCGUUGUACUCUUUUUCUCAUACGAUCAAGGUUCAGUUUUUCUCCCAUAGGGUUUUUGUGACUUGACGAGGUUUUUGACGAGGCAACAGAUCAGCACCAUCGGCAUAUCAGCGCGCGGCACAAGGGGGAGUGUUUUAGGAUAUUCUAUAUCUUUCUAGAUAUUCUUUAUAUGUGCCUUGACCUUAUGCCAUUAGGAUAUGUAGUUUGACUAGAUCUAUGUAUUCAUAUCUUUACCAUAUUGGUAUUGUGUAAUUCCCUAUAUAAAGGGCUCCUAUCAAUGAAUAAGAUGAUGAUUCUCUUGCUAUCUCUUUGUCUAUACACUUUAUACUUCAUCAAAAACAAGGAUUUUAAAGCCCACUUUAAUAUAAAUCUUUUACCUUAACCCAUUCCAAUAAUUCUUAAUAAAAUAACAAAUAUGCCCCUGUUUUGAUAUUCCUCUCCGAUCAGAUCUAACAUCUCUCUCUCAUACAAACUUCGGCCAACUCUUUCAUCCACAAAUACAUUUUUGAAAUAGAGUAAUUUACAGUCACAUAUUAUUAUGUUUUUCUCCCAGUUUCCAUAGAUUUAACCUGAUUUUACUUCCUAUUUUCUGGAUGGUCGAUAUUUCCUAAUCUUCGUUAUUUUAGACUUUUACAGCAUGUUUGUUUCCCAGGACUACUUAUGCUCACCUUAUUAUCAACAAUAGUCCAUGACUCUUCAAACCUGGCUUAAGUUGUAUAAGACAUGUCCCAUGUUUGGUACUGCAUCGGACUAAUGAGCAUAAUAGUCCAAAUACUGAUACCUCAUGUUUGCCCAGAAAAAUAUUGAGGUUUGCCUAGAAAAAAAAGAGCAGCUCUGUAAGGCAAAGAAAAGAAGAAACAAUAUUUGAGAAGUUCUUCAUCUUACAAAACACAAGCAGACUACAUGCCUUCUCAUAUCAAUAUAUACCCUAGCCUGCAUCAUAUUUGCUAUCAGAGUUCACAUCCCAUAUUCAUACAGAGAACAACCAAAUUCUCUUAAAAUUCAUACAAAUACAUACAAGACAUAGAACAUUCACACAAUUGGAGGGGAUGGCUGAGCGUCACAUUAAGGAAUAGUAUUCUGCAAUUAAGCAAAAUACAGAUACACAGCCUUCUGAUGAUCAGCAAAACGGUUAAAUAACAAAGGCAUAAGAAUAGCCUGUGAAGAAGUAGAUGCAUAGCCUGAAAAAGAAGAAGACGACCCAUGAAUGAAAUUGUGUAGAUCAACCAUUUCGUCAAACACUCUGCCUUUUUUUCACCGCACCAUUUUCACCCAACCCAACCCAACCCAACCCUAAGAUCCUUCCUCCCCACAAAUCCACCAUCACCCACAUCUUGUGACCCCUUUUCCUCAUCUGGGUUCUUCCCAAAACCUCGUUUCUUCAACCCAAAUCCAUGAACAACACCACCGCCAUUGUUGGGUCUGUGACCGAAACCCUUUACCCUUCUUGGUUCAAUUAAGCUACCCAGACACCCGCAAGAGAGAAUGAGAAAGGAGGAAGAGAGCAAAUUGCACCUGGGCAGGAGCAGUCAAGCUAGUUGGAGUAGAAGAAUGGAUGAGCAACGAGGAACAAUGAAGCGUUAGAGAGUCCGCCCAUUUUUGGGGCCGCUCCGUAAGAAUGUCAAAAGAGGGUGCAGACGCUACGUAUGCUCAUUUAAAUGAGUCCCGAGUCCCACCAAACACAGGACAAGGCUUAUUUUCUUAACUAAGCUAGUCCAAUCCCUGUUAAUCCAGAGUAACAAACACCACCUUAGUGCUUAUACAGAUGAGAUCAUUUUUGGUUUUCCAAACUGUGCGAAUUGCGAAGGUGGACAAAAAAUUUUAUGAAAAAAUAAAGUAAAGGAAAGCUUAUUUCGAUGAAAACCUAACCUCGUCAUUUGGCGCGAAGUUCAUUUCACUAAACGCUCUCACUAAGCACCAAAGAGAGAGAAAGAGCCCAAGAGCGACUGUACGAACAAAUUUCUAGGGUUUUUUCUGCUACGAUCAAUCGGAGUUAGUAAGACGCAGAAGCUAGGGUUUCCGAGCUUGAGGAGCUUGGAUCAGUUCAAGUCCCUCUCGAAAUCGAAAUCGGCCUCCGGAGGACCUCCGAAGACCUUCGCCUACUCUUCGCUUCCGCCGGAGUCGACCUCGUCGGGAAGCUUCGCGAACUUGAAGCUCACCGUAGGUUCGGAUUGAUCGGAAUUUCUCGGUUUUCUAGCUGAUUUCGUCGGUAAUUUUGAAUAUCUGUGACGAUUUCGUGUUGGAUUUCUUCGUUUUUGCAGAGAAGUUAGUGAAAGAGCAAGCUUCUGUGAAAACAGAUCUGGAAAUGGCUGUACUCUUUCUCUCUCUCUCUCUCUCUCGAUCUUCUCUACGAUGAGCCUGUGAUUGUGCGUGUGAAUUUCACGCGCUAGCUUUUGCGAAUGUGCUUAGAUUUGUGUUUCACUCUGCGCGACUGCGCAUCAAUUUGUUAGGGGGGUUCAAUUUUAUCUCCAUGUAGAUGUUUUCAUUGGUAUUUAAACGAGUGAUUUUCCUGAUAAAUGCAGGACACUAAGCUGAAACAAUCCAUGGAGCACAUCCGUGCGUUAGAAGAAAAAUUGAAGGACGCUCUCAAUGAAAAUGCUAAGUUUAAAGUGAAGCAGAAGGAAGAUGAAAAGCUGCGGGGAUUAGAGUCUUAAGUUUUCUUCGACUAAAACACUGUGUGAUCAACUCACCGAAACUGUACAGCUCUCAGCUGGUCAAGUUCAGGAUGGUGAGUGCUGUUGUUCUGUGCUGUUUUGAGCUUUAAAAUUUUGGUGUAGAUUACAGAAACAUUGUGCUAUUGAUAUUUAACUUGCUCUAACAUAAAGAGGCCUUUGAAGGCAAACUCUCUGCGAGUGCAGUAGCUCUUGAUGGUUUGAGUCAACAAAUGAAUGAUCUGUCUAUAAAGCUAGAGUCAGCUGAGGAAACUAUUAGGACUCGUAAGUUAUUCCCCUUUCAUUUGCUAUUUUUGAGAGGAUAUUUUUAAAAUGUAGAAUGUUUGAAGAUGUAAUGUAUAAUCGGAUAAAGGUGCAUUCAGUGAUGUUCUUGAAUUUUGAAUGUAGGUGAAAAGGAGCUGGAGGAAUGCAGACUCGAGAAAGAGGAGACAGAUUAACUAUACAGAAAUGAACAGUGCAGAACUGCAAAUCUCAUAGAGGAAAAAGGUUAGCAUCUCACGCAUUCUGAAUUUAACUUCCAAUUUGUUUAGAUAUUAUGGGGUCAUUGUGUUUAUGGCCAUCAGACAACCUGGAAGUAAGUAAUGAUAGAUUACAUAACCAGGGAAAUUUACCAUGCCCAAGUUUUUUUAUUUUAUUUUUUAUUUUUUUUAACUAUGAUGAGUUGUAUGGAAAAUGAUUAAAGCUCAUGCAUCAGGUACUUUAAAUCUGUUUUUAAACUCACAUCCUACGUACCUCCAAAAUGGAGAUGGUAUAACUAGGCACAUUGCGUAUGUACAUAUUAGACUAGGUCUUUCAAUUUAGGAACCAGAACCACCCAAGUUACUUGUAAUAUGAAUGGUUUCUUACCCUUUAAGUGAUGUUCAAAUCUAUUCUUAUGUAUGUUGGCAUCACCAUUGUAACUCUAGCAGAUGCUAUGAUUAAGACUUUCAUUAUAACAGCAUUCAUAUUUCUUUUCCUUGCAGACGCUAUGAUUAAGAACUUUGAAGAAACUCUAGCAACUAAUAGGUUGGCUACGGAGAGUUUGAACACUAAAUUGGGUGAGGUGCGUCUUGAGUUAAAGUUAAAAGAGGAUGAAAUCAGGUGUUUGAUAACUGCACAGGAGAACUUGGAAACAGAAAAGCAUGAGCAACGAUGACCUUUUUAAGAGAUUAGAUAUGUCAAUCCUCAAGAUAAAGAACAUGGAAGGUUUUAUUCAUUUGUUGACUUCAAUUUGGCUGAAUUGGAUAGACAAAGUUUGAACUUCCUGGAAAAGUUUCAUAAGCUAAACUCUCUCUAUGAGGCGUGCUUCCAGUUAGUCAAUCAGGAGAAAGACCUUUCUGCCAAGCUUGCUCAGAGACAGUGUGAUCAACUGCACAACAGGUUCUUGAAUUUAACAUCAGAAAAAGAUGCUAUACAAUUGGUAAAUAAGGAGUUGAACAAUAGGGUCAUGGAACUUCAGAAAGUUCAGGAGUCUAUUAUGACACAACUUUCAGAUGAAAGCCGUACAACCAGAGAUAGGAUACAGAAGUUGGAGUCUGAAACUGAAGCUCUGGUCUCCAAGAAGAUUGAAACACAGAAGUUGGUGUCCGAAUCAGAAUUGCAGAUUGAUUCUCUCUCAGAAAGUUCAAGAUCAUCUGAGAAUAAAAUGGUAUGCAAAUUCCAAUACAUACAUUUUAUAUUGUGAUAUGCGUUUUUUCCAUACUAAACAUUUUUUGUACUAUCUUGCAGCAAGAUCUGCUGAUCAAAAUCUCAGCACUAGAAACUGAGAAUAGAGAUAAUACAGAGAAACUACAAGCAGAGAUACAGAAGAAAGCGGAGCAAAUAGAUGGUUUACUGAAGGAAGGUGAAACACAUGAGCAGCAUGUAGAUUUGAUGGAUAUACAAGUCAGCAAGCUUCAUAACACAUUGGAGGAAAAGGAGUGACUUAUUGUGCAAUAUAACGAGAGAAGAAUCUGGAAGAACAGAUCACACAGGUUUGUAAUUUAAAUGUGAGAUGUUUGUAAAACCUUAUCCCUUAUGUACUUACAGAUCUGUACUUUGUUGCAGAAUCGUGCAUCGCUGACUGCUGCUGAAACUAGACUCGUGGAAGAUGAGAAGCAAGAUGAUUUUAUGUUUGGUUGUUUCUAUUGGUUUUAUGUGCUUAUUUGGGGUUUCUUGACAUACAUAAUUGGCCGAUAUCAUAAUAAUACUAUGAUUCAAUUUUCCAAUUUUCAAGUCAUACUAAAGAUUUGGUGCUUAUUUUCCAAUUGUCUUAUACCUCUAACCAAAUGUACUCUAUUCUCAUGUGCAGUCAGACCGAUUUCAGUACAUCGGAUUAUCAGACCCAAAUUGUUUUAGUAUUUUCUUUUACAUGUUUCUACCGGUGCUAAAGAUGAGAUGUUAUUAACAAACAGCUAACACCACUAGGUAAUAGCUUCUAACACAUUCUCAUAUGUAAUAUUAUUAUUUAUUUUUUUCACAGGCUAUAGAUGUGAGCUUUUAUUGCGUGAGUUUUGAUACGGAGUGUACCUUUGGUUGGCCUGUCACGGUUAUUUGUAUUACUAUCUUUGACUUUUGGAUAGUGAAGACGUACGGUUAUCGAAAUAUUAGUUCGAGGUGGAAGAAUUCUAAAGAUGAGGAUGCAAAUCGUGUGCUCAACACCAAGUCAGUUGGCCCAGAGGUUAUAUCUAAUUUUAAAGUUUUUUUUCUUUUUUUGAUACAUAAUUUAAAGUUUUUUGUAUCAUGUUUACUAUGCUAAAUUGGUUGGCUGCAUAAUCUUUGGUUUGAUGUAGGCAAUGGCUGGUUUAGAUGGAGUUGCAUUUGUGGAGUUUUGGUUGUUUCUUUGUAUCAUGGUAAGUAUAUUCAUGAAAACAAUUAGGGUAAAGGGAAGAACUGAAACGUGUAUUAUUUGUUUCAUGGUACUCAUUCUUGUUUUCAUUGGUGGUUGGUCUGGGCUGGUGAUAUUGUCGGUCUUCAAGGAACAAGUUGGACGGGUUAUUGUAGCUGCAAUUUGUCUUAGGCUCAAGCUUGUGAAUUCACAAGCAUACAAUAACCUGCCAAAUUCACAAGCUUGAGCCCAAGACAAAUUGCAGCUACAAUAACCUGUCCAACUUGUUCCUUGAAGACUGACAAUAUCACAAGCCCAGACCAACCACCAAUGAAAACAAGAAUGAGUAGCAUGAAACAAAUAAUACACGUUUCAGUUCUUCCUUUUACCCUAAUUGUUUUCAUGAAUAUGCUUACCAUGAUAUAAAGAAACAACCAAAACUCCACAAAUGCAACUCCAUCUAAACCGGCCGUUGCCUACAUCAAAUCAAAGAUUAUGCAGCCAACCAAUUUAGCAUAGUAAACAUGAUACAAAAAGCUUUUAAAUUAUGUAUCAAAAAAAAACUUUUAGAUUAGAUAUAACCUCUGGGUCAACCGACUUGGUGUUGAGCACACGGUUUGCAUUCUUAUCUUUAGAAUUCUUCCACCUCAAACCAAUAUUUCGAUAACCGUACGUCUUUACUAUCCAGAAGUUAAAGAUAGCAAUACAAAUAACCGUGACAUGCCAACCAAAGUUCCACUCUGUAUCAAAGCUGAUGCAAUAAAAGCUCACCUCUAUAGCCUGUGAAAAAGAAUAAAUGAUAAUAUUAUGUAUGAGAAUGUGUUAGAAGCUAUUACCUAGUGGCGUUAGCUGUUUGUUAAUAACAACUCAUCUUUUAGCACCGGUAGGAACACGUGAAAGAAAAUAUUAAAGCAAUCUGGGUGUAAUAAUCCGAUGUACUGAAAUGGGUCUGAUUGCACAUGAGAAUAUAGUACAUUUGGUUAGAGGUAUAAGACAAUUGGAAAAUAAGCAUCAAAUCCUUGGUAUGACUUGAAAAUUGGAAAAUUGAACCAUUGUAUUGUUGUGAUAUCGGCCAAUUAUUCAAGGAACCCCAAACAAGCACAACAAACCAAGAGAAACAACCAAACACAAACUUUUGCCUACGUCCACCGGCAGAAAACACUUAACACUAUUAAUAAUACACCAAAGAAUAAAACACUUAACACUAUUAAUAAUACACCAAAGAAUAAGAAAACAAGGACUCUCUUCUCUUCCUAUCUUUAACCGAGAAUGGAACACACUUUGCUCUUUUUCUCUGCGAUACCAAAACCUAGAGCUGAAACCCUCCUUAUAUAGCUAUAAGGAUAUCAGAUCUCUUCACCAAAUAGGAAAUCUAAUCCUAUUAGUGGUAGGCAAUGAUGCCUCCUCCUUCUCUGUAAUCUAUUACAGGUAUACAGCCUCGGCCACUGGUCGGCUGGGAUCUAGUUCCGAAUUUGGGGGAUGUUGCUGCAGUGUUGAAAAUCGGGCAUGCUGGACUGCGUUUGUUGAUGCAGUGGAAGUCUGGACCAUUGCCUGCCAUCCAUAGCAAGCAUGGCUCCUUCAGGUGUAGUUUUCUAUUGUGUAUGAUAUACUAAAAUCAGCUUACUUGCAUUCACUGGAUGGAAGGAAAAGAAUUCAAAAAAUGAGCCAGCAUGACAGCACCUGAAUGCUUUUGAUCAACUGGAUUUGGGACAGGUCAGAUCAUUACUCUAUUGAGCUAUUGCUGGUGCCUGUGCAGAAGCUGCCACUUAUCCAUUUGAAGUUGUGAGGAGACAGCUUCAAUUGCAAUCCCAGGCUACUAAAAUGAGUACCUUGUCGACUUGUAUUAAGAUAGUUGAACGAGGAGGGGUCCCAGUACUCUAUGCAGGACUUGUUCCCAGCUUGUUACAGGUAUUUGUUAAAAGAUCCUUGUCUAUUAUAUGCUAUUUUCUUGUUUUAGUUAAUAUGGUUAUUAGGUUUUUUGCACUUGUAAACAUGGUCAUAGAUUCUGUGUAUAAAAUAGGAAAAGUGUAGCCAAUCUGUAUUGCUUUUGAAUUUAUUGUGUUCAGUGAUUUGGAAUUCUUUUCCUAGGUUGGUGGUUCUGCAUACAUCUCUUUCUCUAGGUAUAAUUAACAUUCUCAUAUUCUGACCUUUACCAGUAAACUUCUCACUUUCCCCUUAUAGCAAGUCUUUUCUUCUAAAUCAGUAAAUUUCCGAACUAACUGGUUGUUCAAACUCUAUCCUUCUGUCGUCAUUUUCCAGAUGUGUCCAUAUCAUAUUUCGAAGUUUCUGUGGGAUGGAGUUAUGCUCCAAAAGGACCAAAACUGAGGCCUUUAUUAAAUUUUCUUGUUUUUUUUUUUAUCAUUAUUUUUCAUACUUCGCCUUGUCAUACUAUGAUUCAAUUUUUCAAUUUUCAAGCAUACUAAGGAUUUGGUGCGUAUUUUGAUCACUUUAUCCAAAUAUUCCAUAUAAUUGUUAUUAGGAUGUGAUAUCCAACCUCUCUCCUAUCAACCAAUAUACUACUGUAAACAGAGAUUGUGUUGGGUUUUGUUUUUCCAACCUUCCAGGUCUACAAUUUUUCAAAUUCAAUUAACCUUAUCUAGUAGACAAAAAAAGAACCACACAGACCCACUAAUUAUUUCAAGAGUUAACAACAAAAAUUGAGGAACAAUCUGAUAUGCACUAGGACUAGUGGGAAUGUGGAAGUUCUGAGAAGGAAACGCUGUGAUGUUGCUUUUUGUUCCCCCUUAUUUAAGCUGCCAUCAUGCUAUGGCUGAGUUGUUCCGGUUUUCAGGUAAAAUGGAGUUCUGUUAGGGACAAGUCAUUGCCUGAGCCGCCAACGGCUGUUUUUCUGCAUGGAAUUUUAGGUAGCAGGAAAAAUUGGGGUACGUGGGUGUUAGUAUUCUUGAAAUAUUAAUAAAAUUCUUUUUACCUCGAAUUUUGUUUUUGUUGUGUCUUAAAGUUAGAAGAAAUUGAUAGAAACAUUUUUAUUGGUUUCUUGAUUACUAGGCAAUGCAUUUUCUGUUAAGUGUGAAUCUUGUUCCUGCCACUCCUGUAAUGGCAAUUGCAAGUGGAUUAACUAAAUUAUUUUUUAAUCAGAUCUUCACAUUGUUGUACAGUGAUUUUUUUUUCUUCCAUUUGAUAAUUAAAACAAAAAAAAGCUGAGGAACAUAUUAUUAAAACCCUUAAUUGAUGUUCUCAAACCUUUCUAUCGGGUCUUCUGUUUUCUUUAUGUUGAAAAACCAACUUUUAAACUACAUGCAUCACUGACUUUGUAAUAAUAAUAGAAAACUAAAGUUGAUAACAGUUAUUUAGUGGACAUGUUGGUUCAAGUAGGCUGGCUGACACUGUUCUCAAAUUGGAUAGUUUUAUAAUAUUGAGAAUCAUAUCAACUCUUCCACUUCCAUCUGGAACCAAAUGAUUUUUGACAACGUUGAGCUGCUUUUUCUAAGCAUUUGUUAACAAAAAAAUUUAGUGUCAAAUGUAGAAUCCGGAAAUUUUGAUCACUAACCUUUUAUUCUGUCCAUUUCCCCAUCUAUUUGUGUGGUUUUGAGUUCAGUUAGUACAAUCACUGGAAGAUCUGUUUUGUGUGUUUUUGUUUCCUGUUGAUUGUAGAACGUGGAGUAUCAUUGAAUUCUGAGUAAAACUCACUUGCCUGUUCUGUUAUUUUGAGUUAUUUUUGUGAAAUACAUUCCUACAAUAGAGGAGGACUGGCCGGAACUGGCACGGAAUGAAAUUCUUGCACAAAACUGACUCUUUGGAAAAGGACUAUGCAAGUCUCGUUUACGAAAUAAAGACAUUGUUUGAUAACAAAUUUGAGAGAAGGAUACUUUAGACUUUCACACAAAGUACCAUUUCUUAUUAUAUUUGAAAAUGAUAUUUUUGUGAUGGACUUCCUUUCGGUAUUAUCCUUGGUAAUUCCCCAUUAUUGAAGAACCUUUUGAGUCUGAAUGUCCAUCCUAUUGUUCUUUGAGAAUUUUGUUGAACGGAAAACUAUGUCGUGGGCACAGAAACUAUCUGAUUGUCACCUUAGUUAUUGUAUCUAAUCAUUACCUCCCCGGAUAAUUUGUUUUGUUUUCCUUACAAGUUAUCAGAGUCCUUUGUUGUAGUCUGCUGCACCUACAGGUGUUUUCUGGGAGUCAUGUGCAGAAGUAGUUCAUAAUUCAUUAUUUAAUGUCUGCUUCAGGAAAUUUCACUAGAAGAUUGGCACAAGAAUUUCCAACGUGGCAGGUAUCAUCCUCUGCGUUUUAUCACUAAUAUCACUGGAGCAUGUUGUUAUCUGGUAAAGCUCAAAAUAUUUCUAAAUUUCUAAUAGGAGGUCCUUUGACUAUAUUUUUUAUUUUUUAUUUUUCUAAUAGGAUGUUGAACCUAUUUCAUGUUUUAAUUUUUUUUUUCUUUCUUUUAACCCCUGAAGCUCUGCUUCUAUUUGUGAAGCAUGUCUUUAGCAUGUCCUUUCUGUAUCUAUGUAGACUGAAUAUUUUAGUACUUGGCAUUAGUGAGAAUCCAAAGUUGUUUUUCUUUUGUUUGUUGUAACAGUUCCUAUUGGUGGACCUGCGAUGUCAUGGUGAUUCAGCCUCAAUUAAGAAAACUGGUCCCAAUAUUGUUUCUUCCACUGCUCUUGAUGUCUUGAAACUAGUACGUAUUUCUGAGCCUUAACUAUCCUUAUUUCCAAGGAAAGUCCAUCUCUUGCAGAUUCUCUAUACUUACACUCGAAGAAAAUAAAUUAGAAGUGAUGACAUAUAAGGAAUCAGCUAAGAACCAAAUGCCUUCUACACUUAUGAUCUCAACAUGGCUUGCAUGAUUUUCAUUGUAUAAGCAGCAUUUGAACACUCCAUCUUUGUUUGUAAAUUCCUGUCUAAAAUCUUCUCUGGCAUUAGUUAAUUUCUUCUGUUAUAUUGUUUCUUCUUCCUGCAAGGUUCGGCAGCUUAGAAUAACACCUCGGGUUUUGGUUGGUCACAGUUUCGGGGGGAAAGGUACUUAGCACAGUUUUAAUAUGUCACACACUUCGUUCUAGAUCUACUAUUUCAAAUGGCUCUGAUGCUCGCUACGCUUUCUAAUUGUCAUGUAGUCGCCUUGAGCAUGGUGGAGCAAGUUGCAAAGCCUCUUGUACGACCAGUCAGAGUGAGUAAUGUAUAGUUGAUUACUGGGUUUAUGUACUUUCUGUGUAUGUGGACAUAAUCCCUUAUCAUAGUAGAUUUUAUCUUUUUAUUUCUAUUUAUUUUUCUUAGGUUUGGGUUCUAGAUUCUACUCCUGGAAAGGUUCAUCCUGGUGGGGAUGGGGAGGACCAUCCAGCAGAACUAAUAUCUGUUAAUAUUCAAUUGCUCCCUUUUCUUUCUUUAGAGUUUGAUUGCUUUUAUUAUUUAUGAUUUAUGGUUGGUAUAUUUUCUCAAACCGGUUUUUUAGUGGUCUCUUCUCAUUUUACGACUAGCAUAUACAUGAAAUCCACUCAAAUCAAUUAGAUCCAAUGGAUGAAGAUCAGCAUCACGCUGGAAGAAAAAAAAUACAGAAACACCAACACCUAGUUAUAGGUGCAUUCAGUCUCACAAUUAAGAAAAUAUGGAUGGACGACUUCCUAUCCUGUAAAUAUCAGCAACAGAUGCCCAUGAAGAUGACCAAAACGCUGCCUGAAGUCCUGAACCACAAACCCCCUCCACUCUCACCCCUCUGAAUCCUCAAAGAUGUUUCAUUGCCGUCCAAAUGACCCAAAUAACCAGCCGGACAUUGCAAUAAAAGAAAAUAAAGAAAAGUUCUCAUCCACUUUGUGGAAUGAUGCAACAAUAGAAGGCUAAGGAGCUGGGAUUUCCAUUUGCAGCCUUUGAUGAGAAAGACAAGUGGAGGGUAUAUAUUUGUGGAACAUAUUAUAUUGUUGAAGGCGAAAAAAUCCCAUAUCACCUCAUCAUCUGGUAUGACAUCCUGUAUCUUAUAUCCCAUGCAUAUGUUAUCUCGGUAAUGGGACUCUUGCUCAAGUAGUAUAAGAUUCAUGUCGUAAUAGUAAUGGGAUUCUCAUUUUAUUAGUAUUCUAAUUUCAGGAAACAGCACUUGAAAAGAAAAGAGCAGUACGUCGUGAGCUACUGUCCAGUGCUGAUGAUAAAGCCCGCCGUAUUUUCAUCACCACCUCUCUUACACGUCACCAAGUCUCCUCCCUUUCGAUUCCCCACUUCCAACGCCGCAGCUGAGGAAAUGAGUGUAGGUUAAUCUCAAAGUUGAUAGAAACAACUAACAUUGUACAACGAAAGUUUCGAAAUGAUCGAGUGUUGUUGAAUAUUUGUGCAUUUGUUUGUUAAAGUGUUGGAGGGGUUUCUUGUUUUCCAAGGUACUUUAUGGCGUUAGAUUUCACUUAUCUGAAUUUGAAUUUCGAGUCUUUGGCUCCGAUUGCUCUGUCUACUAAGUACUUUAGAUAACGGUAUUGUGUUUGUUCCAGACUUCCAGUCAAUAGAAAAGCUGUUAGCUGUUAGCUUGGUUAACUGUCAUAGAGUUUAUGCUGAAACACCAUGGCUAAGGGUAAGACCAAUUUAGGAGUUCAUUACAAAUGAAUGCACAAUGCAUAACACCCCUCCAUUUUAUUAGACGCACCCCUCUAAGUUGCUCACAAUAGAUUCGUUUUUGAAUAUUCUAGUAAACAGGACUAUAGUAAUGAUAAUGAAGUCUGUACGUAUCUCAGCAGACUUGAUGGCCAAAUGCCUUUAGAUUUAGGUCUACAUACAUAUUGCUUAGCAGUUUUCAUUGAGUGUACUGGAAUAGACGAAGGUACUGAUCGGAUAAAAUCAUUCUACCAGCCAUAUAUAGAGGGAUCUUACUUUUCUAUGUAGUAGUAAAAGAAAUGUCACGCUCCAUAUAGUUAGAUUUUGAAAAAUUUGGAUUGGAUGCGAGGAAUACCAGGCCAAGGCUUGAACUCCGGUAAGGUGCAGCUAAUCUCAACAUCCUUGCCAUUUUGACAGUAAUAUGUGAUUAGUCUGUGGAAAUAUAUAGUUUGACCUGACGCUGCAACAAAAUUUCUCAAAUUAAUAUUCAUGUUAAGAAUCCUAGCUAAUUGAGAAGUAGCCUCAGAAAAAGAAUCAUAUCAUCAGUUGUAAACAGGUCAGAGUACCUGGACCAGCUUGAGACACUUCAAUUGUUUUCCUCAACCUACUCUCUACUUCCACAGUAAUUAUAUGGGAUGAUUUCUCAAUAGAAAGAUUAAGAGAUAGGGUGAUUGCAGAUCUCUUUGCCAUUCUUGAUGGGUGAUUUUGGACACAUAAUGCAUAACAAGAUUGAUAUAUGGUUUGACACAGCUGGAUGGGUUAAUUUAUCAUUUAAAUAUCUCACUAAAUAUUAAAUAGAUUUCCUGGUCACUAAUCCCUUCAGGUUUUGGUUCUUGGUCUGGUGAAAUUUUAUGGCCGCAAAGGCACAAACCCUCAUAAUGUAUUGUCAGCCAUUUGUUUUCCUGAUUGUUACCAUAAAAGUUUGGGUUUAAACUUGUCUUUUUAGCCUUUUAUUAUCACUCAAACAGCACAGCGUACUAUAUUAAAGCACGUAGAAUUUGUUAUUGUGCUUUCUUCUCAUGGCAAAACUCUGGCUUCAAAUGAUUUGCAGGAUAUACUUCUGUUCUUUAGAAAGUUUAAUGAUUCUGUUGGCAAAGACCUUCAGUUCGUUAUUGACGAUUUAUCCACCAAGGAUUCUACAGCAGUUGGGGCGAUCGACAUGGCAUUAGGUAUGUGGAUGGAAAUUAUAUUACUUUUUCACAUCUAAGAUCUGUUCCCAUCUGAAAUAAUAAAUAUUGUCAGAAUGGAACGGGAAGCCUUUCCCCUUUAGCAAGGGAUGUAGCUUUUAUCGGUCGGAGGUCAUAAAUGGCAAGAGACAGAUUAUGUAAGGAUUUUAUAACUUAGCAGCGUAUAUAUUUUUUUUUUUUGAUCAAAAGGUGAAAUUCAUUCUAUUAUAGAGAACUUACAUCAAGGAGUAUAUAGUGGCCUCAUUAAACCCAAAAAAUUAUUGGGAAGAACCACACUCCAUAACAAAAAACUCUUACAAUCUUGACUCAUCAACUAUUAUAGAAGUUAGCCACUCCGGUACCAUUUGCCACCAAUACGUGGGGAAAGGGCAAGAUAUGGCUUGUCUAGCUACAGUAUGAGCAGCUAUAUUGCCCUUUCUAGGUACAAAACUCCAGGUACAGGUCUGAAAACAACUGAUAUAAAACUUCGCUUCCUCAAUAAGAGCUCCCUCAGCACUAUAGUCAUCAAGGGUAGAGUCCAACGCCGCAUCCCCUUAAAUAUGCAACCUUGUGAAGCCAGCCUGCAAGCAGAAAUGUAACCCAUUCACCAAUGCUACAGUUCGCAAGCUUGAGGACUAAUGUACCCCAAACCUGGUACUGCCAGCACGCCUAAGCAAGUUCCAUACUCAUCUCUGCAUACUGCUCCUGUUCCAAACAGUCCAUGAGUAACAUCCAGAGUUCCAUCUAUGUUCAGUUUAACCACCCCUGAGCUUGGUUUCUGCCAUUUAACAACUUCUCCUCUUCCACCGACCUCACUCCUUCUAAUUAAUCCCCGACCCUCCUCAAAUCGUCAAUGAUUUUAGAUUUGCUGCAAGGACCGCAUUGGAACUGGUACAUUUUUUUUUCAAGUUAAAUAUGAAAUAAAUUUACAUGUCCUUUUACAGAAACGUUUUAUAUCAAAGUGGUGGUCUCUUUGUUUCAGUUAUUGGGUGAUGAAAAGUUUCAAAAAUAUUCAGUAACACCAAUGUUAUUGUUUCUUGAUUUUAUAGGCUUUGAUGGAGUAGAAAUUCAUGGCGCCCAUGGCUACCUAAUCGUUCAAUUUUUAAAAGAUCAAGUAAAUGAUCGAACAGACCAAUAUGGUGGGUCUCAAGAAAACCGUUGCCUAUUUGCACUAGACAUUGUUGAAGCUGUUGUCAACGAGAUAGGAGCAGAUAAAGUUGGAAUUAGAUUCUCUCCAUUUUCUUACUAUAUGGAAUCCGGAGAUUCUAAGCCAAAGGAGUUGUGACUUUAUCUAGCCAAUGCCUUAAACAAGUAUGGGAUCCUGUACUGCCACAUGUUUGAGCCAAGAGAGAAAAUUGAAUGUCCCCACAGUCUUGUACCGAUGAGAAAGGCUUUCAAUGGUACCUUCAUUGCUGCUGGUGGUUUUGACAUGGAAGAUGGGAAUAAUGUAUUAAAGGAGAGGAUCAGCUUAUAACUCGAGUAGAUCAAUCUGUAACAACUGAUUGAGUUGUUUCCUUAUUCUUCUAGCCUUCCUAUUGUAACUAUACACGUCAGCCCUAUUAGCUAGGGUUAGCAGAUGUUAGGUUGUAUAUAAACCUCUUGUAAACUUGAUUAAGAUGGAUACAUAAUACAGACAUAUUCACCAGAAGCACAUUCACGCUUCUUUAUGGUACCAGAGCCACGAUCUGGGACCAAGCAGCUUUAAACCAAAAUCCUAAACACAAAUCCCGACUCACCAUCAUGACAGGUGACGAGCAGAAAGAGCUUGCUUUGUUGUUGAAGGAGAAAUUCCUCAAGGAUGAAGCCUCGGCCAGCAACGCACGCACACCGCAAGCAUGGGAGUAUUCAAAUCAUCCUCUCUACAUUCAUCAUUCGGACCAGCCUGGCAUGAUACUCGUGUCACAGUCCUUGAUGGAGGAUAACUACAAUCAAUGGNNNNNNNNNNNNNNNNNNNNUCAAUUCUUUUGCGACAAUCAAGCUGCUAUCUACAUUGCCACUAAUCCGGUAUUUCACGAACGUACUAAACACAUCGAGAUUGAUUGUCAUAUUGUGAGAGAAAAGAUGCAUGCAGGUGUGAUCAAGGCUGCGCACAUUGGUACUAAAGAGCAGAUUGCCGACUUAUUUACCAAACCAUUGAGUACUGCACAGUUUGACAUUCUUCUUAGCAAGUUAGGUGUCAUCAAUAUACACUCUAACUUGAGGGGGAGUAUUAAAGGAGAGGAUCAGCUUAUAACUCGAGUAGAUCAAUCUGUAACAACUGAUUGAGUUGUUUCCUUAUUCUUCUAGCCUUCCUAUUGUAACUAUACACGUCAGCCCUAUUAGCUAGGGUUAGCAGAUGUUAGGUUGUAUAUAAACCUCUUGUAAACUUGAUUAAGAUGGAUACAUAAUACAGACAUAUUCACCAGAAGCACAUUCACGCUUCUUUAUAAUGCUGUAGCUGAGGACCGUGCAGAUCUUAUUGCUUUUGGUCGUUGGUUCUUGGCUAAUCCGGAAUUGCCAAAGAGAUUUGAGCUUAAUGGUCUUCUAAAUAAGUACAUCAGAGAUACGUUCUACAUAUCUGAUCCGGUUCUUGGUUACACUGAUUAUCCAUUUCUUGACAGCACUGCACGAGUUUGUAGCUGACGAUGGAAGCUUGAACUCUCUUAUUUUCUCAUGCAUCUGGUCUGCAUUGAAGCUUUGUUGUUGCUUUUCUUUCAGGGCAUGUUGCACUAAAAUAAAAAUAGUAAAUACCAAGUUGGAGAGGCUGGUUAACAAUUGGUGGUGUAGCUAGCUGUUUGAUACUGUAAGGCCUAGUUUGGUAUAGCUUCACUUUAAAAAAAAUCAGCUUCUAUCUGAACUUUUAGAUUUUAUAGUGUUUUAUAAAUGAAAGAAAAGUAGUUUUUUUGAAAAUUACAGGUCAUUGACAUCAGUUUUUAGAAACAAUUUAAAUGUUACUUUUAAAAGCAGCUGUCACUAAAAACACUAGAAAUUAAUAAAUUUUAUUUUGGCAUCACUUUUAAAACUAAUAUUUAAUAAACACAAAACUGUUUUAACUCACAGCUGAUUAUUUUCGCAGUACAGCAACAUUAGUUUUUUUUAAAAUCACAACAAUACCAAACUAGCCCUAAUUAAGUUGUGGUCUCUGCAAGUAUUGUCAAGACCCACCCCGAAUUUCACCCUGAAACUCGAGGUAAGUCCUGCGGGGUCCACCUCUAAGGAAAAUUCACCGAAAAUUCGGCAUAAUCUACCUUGAAAAUAGACAACCCUUACCUGAAAAAUUCCAGAUACACUUCUAUAAUAAACUAUCCAACCUCAACUCUUGGAGCCUUCCUGCUCCCCAAGUUCAUAACAUCUCCCAUAAUACAACUAGCUUUAAUCAAAUUCUAACUAUCUCAAAUGGUUAUCAGAGCAUAUCUAUAAUGAAAUAAAAACAAUGAAUAAAGAAUAAGCGGAAGCAGCCUCUGACUAUGCCUCGACUCCAUGUACGCUCGACCUCAUUUAAACUUAGCCUGCAAACUGGGCAUUUAAAACCAAAGGGCCUAGGGAAAAGUAAUUUGAAACGUUAGAGUGAGUGGACGAAAAAUAAAUUAAAUAACUUAACUAAAAACAUAUAUAAUUUAUAUACUUUCCCAUGUUUCAACUUUAAAACUUGGUUGCACGCAACUUUGAACGUCCUUAAAACUUUAAAUCCAAAUUCACUUAAUACUGGAUAAACCAGCUCAGCUGGUUAAAUAAAAUAGAAAUCUCAAAAUGAGGGAUAAACUAGCCCCGCUGGUUAAUCAAUUAUAUAACUGAGAAAAAUAAAUAAGGGGAAGAGUUAUCACCAUGUAAAAGGAGCCUCCCAAGCUCGGGUCGAUGCCUCCCAGGCUAUAAUAGCGUCCCACGCUAACCACGCUAAGCGCUCAACUCACAUAUGAUGAGGACCGCUAAAUAAGGCUAUAACAGCGUCCCACGCUAAGCGCUCAACUCACAUAUGAUGAGGACCGCUAAUAAGGCUAGCUAACUAAUAAAUAUAAAUACCGAUCGGUUGCCUCCCAGGCUAUAAUAGUGUCCCACGCUAAACGCUCUACUCACCUAUGGUGAGAACCGCUAAUAAUGGUUAGUUAGCAAUAAUCAAUAUAAGCGACCCUAUAUUAUGGUGAUUAAAACAUACGAAGUCACUUAAAUCCAUUAAACUUCCCCAAUAUCAAACGAAUGGUACGGUUCCCAACCGUACUUGAAAAUCAUCAUAAGAAAUUAUAUUAAAACUCAAUGAUGUGUCUCACACGUCAAAACAUUCUCAAAUUUAUAAAUAUAAGCGAGAUUUCAAUAUCAAAUAUAAAUCAUAAAUAAUAAUAUCUCCACUCGAAAAUACUCGCUAAAAUAUUCUCCAAGUCAAAAUCAUUAUGCCUCAAAUAAACAAUUAAAUUAUGAUGGAGAACUACCGAAAAUCCCAUUUUCGGUAAUCAUUUAUAAAUCUCGAAGUCAUCAAAAUAAAACCGAUAAUAUUUUAAAUCCGGAGUCAUAAAAAAUAUCAAAACUCAAAUAUCAACUUUAUAACCCGAGCUCAAAUCCAUAAAGCAUGACCAACACUUAAAUCAAUGCUUCAAACUCACUAAAUUCAAAACCAUAACAUAAACCGAAAUUUUAAUAUAAUCUCGGUAAAUAAAGUAAUAAAUUAUAAAAUCUUGCAUGCUUAUUUAUUAAAAUUAAAGUGUCCACUCACAGUAUACGGCUAUGCCUUGGUAGGAGCACAAAAUGUUACGUUUACAAUGUAUUUCCGACCCUAUUUAGCUAUGUAAUUCCCUUAACAAUAUUCAUAUUAACUAAGUUUGCGUUUUUAGGUCAUAAAUAAAGCCGAGGAGCCUAAAAGAGACAAAAGAGGUGAAAUCUUGAAGGAAAAAUAAUUCAUGUUGUGCAAGGAAAGAAAUCAGAAAAUCUGUCAGAAAUAGUCAGUCAACUUCGACAGAAGAUUGUGAUUAGCUCACAACCAUCUAGGAGAUGUGCCAUAUAUCAAUGGAAAGCUACAAGAGUCUACUUUCCAAAACUUUUUACGGAUCGUCAAUAACUAUUUUGGAGAAGAAGUUAUGACCGUUUGAGUGGCCGAAGGUCAGUCUGCCCGAAUUUCUGAUUUGGACCAAAACUUCUAGUUUGAGGCCCAGGCCACAUUGGUAAGCCCAUGGAUGAGUUUUGAGGGUUUUAUAACCCUAAUCACAGCAGAAAAGAAAGGAGGAGAGAGAGGACGGGAAGAUUAGAGAGGAGGCCAGCGAUCUCACAUCAUCAGAACCUCCAUAGUUGCGGACUCGCACAAGGAAACCGCCAAGCCAUCAUUGAUCUCUCCAUCAUCCACGGUUUAUCUUUCCUUUGUCAUCUUUCAUUCUCCUUGUGUGUCUUUGCAGCCAUGUGUGGCUGAAUUCUCUUAGUUAGGGGCAAGGUUUGAAGCCUCAAGAAUGUUUUAGAUAUUGUUUAGAACCUUGGUUUCGAAUUAUUAAGUCUUUCAAAUUGUUUAUUUGGUUUUGGUUUAUGGAGAACUUUUGCUUGUUUAUGUUCAUGUAUGCGCAACAUAGAACAUUAUGAACUUGUGAGUGGGGCUAGAAUUAGGUUGUUUAAUCUCCUAAACGGUUAAUACGGCUUAGUUCAAAGUAGUAAAACCUAUAGGACAAUAGGUGAAACCAAAUAAAAAUGAUUGCAUGCUAGGUAAGCGUUCCACACUAGUUUUGCAUACUUGUUCAAUCACUUUCAUUGAUCUUUAUGCUUAGAAUAAUUUGUUGAUAGGAUAGCGUCUAUACCUUGAUCAGUUAUUCUAAAGGCUUAGUAAUGGUGCGUUCAUCUUGCUUAAGUAUUCAAGGGAAGUAAUAAGGACUUACGCGGUGCGUUCACGGUUUGUUCUUGAUUGAUACCGAUUUGUGACUUAAUAAUUGAAGCUUUGGUUGUUAACUUAUCUUGAAACAUACUUGGUGGUGGAUUUCCAAGUCUUUAACGUCUCAUCCAUCUGAUCUUUUCUGUUUUAUUUUGUUUCUUUGUUUUCUCUUGUUUAUAAUCAUAUAACCCCAUAUCUCUAGUACUAUAAUAUUUUUUUUUCUCUUGUUUUGUAAUUAACGUAAUUGUAAAGGUACCCUCAAUCCCCGGCUUUUAUAACGAUACCCUUAUUUGCUAUAUACUACAAUUGACACAAAAAGGUUUUAAUUGAAACGCCCGGUUUCGGUCGCUAUCAUGCCUGCCGUCGAUCCAAGGUCUCCCAACACAAUCCUCCUCACGUCCUGAAUAAUAAAUAAUAUUAAGUCUCCAGACUAGAUUAAAGCUUAAAUAAAUAUUUCCGAAAUAAAAAAGGAAGCCUAUAGUUUUAUCUCCCUUGCCCAACUUCUCCACUUUUAAUCUAAUAAGGCUCACAUUACUCCACACUUACCAAUAGCCAUAAAUUAACCUUUUAGAAUUUAAAACCUGCUAAACCAACUGCCGAAAUCCUACUCUAAUAACCGUCACAAUUCUUAACCAUUGAAAAAUCCCAAAUCUUAUCAAAACUCCUCCAAAAAUUCCAAACUUUACUUCAUUAAACUCCUCUCAUUAAAACCAUCUCAAAAACAUGAAAAAAUUGUCCUUAAGGGGCGGCGGCCGGCAGCUGUACUCCGGCAACCUCCAAUGCUUCCCAAAUUUUAACACAACACUACCCUCAACCUACACAACAACUUCCUUAACUAGCACAAGAUCUAUUUCUAAGCCUAACUAGGUUAAUCGAACCAAAACCUUAAAUUGAACCAUAGGACUUCAAUUAUACAUUUCUCCCUACCAAGAUCGAAUUGAGCCAAUUCCUUUUGAGGGAUUACUAACCUUGAUGAGAGCUUCAAGAUGAGCCACAAAUCCCGAGCUAUGGUGGCCGGAGGAGGGAACUCCGGUGAAGGGUUGUCCGGCGUCUCAGGCGGGAUUUCUCUUGACCGGUGGCAUCACACGCUCGGUCACCGGCCCAAGAAGAGAGAGGGGGCGACGGGGGUCCAAACGGAGCUGGUCCGGCGGUCUAUGGUGGCCGGACGGCGGUGAAUGGAGGCUGGGUCUCCGGCGGGUCGGGAGGCUUCAGGAGAGAGAGAGAGAGAGAGAGAGAGAGAGAGAGAGAGAGAGAGAGAGAGAGAGAGAGAGAGAGAGAGAGAGAGUAGAGUAGGUAGGUAGGUAGGUAGGUAGGUNNNNNNNNNNNNNNNNNNNNCUUAAUACCCCAACAAAAUAAACCCACUUAAAUUUUUUACCCCCUUUUUACUAACUCAAAAUUUACCCUUUUUAUCUGAUAAUUUUUUCGUGCUAACUCCGAUUUUUGCGUAUAACAUGUCUAUGAACUCAUAUUAACGUCCUAUACAACUUCCUUAAAGAAAGUUUUCCAAAAUAACUUGCCUACAAAAAGUCAAUUAUAAGGUCUUUAACAGUAAACGGUUACUUAACACGGUAAAAGACCAAGAUAAAACCAAAAAUAAAUAACCGUAAAAUAACUUAAGAACCGGGGUUUGACAAGUACCCUUUAAGCAGUGGCGGAGCCAAGAUUUACACUUAGAGGGGGUUCAAGUUUGACGAUAGACGACUCGAUUUGGAUUUAAUUAUUUUAUUUAAAUAUAAUUUUAAAUUAUUUUCGUUAACUAUAUGCUAAAUGUAGCAGUAUUUAUACAUCAUCUAUCAUCAAAAAAUUUAUAAAUUUUUAUUUAGUUUCAAUAAAGACAAUAAAACGUCACUCAUAAAAAAAAUUAAGUAAAAAGCGUUGAUGGCAAUAAUUUAGACGUUUAAACCUGAAAAUCUUGUAGAACCAUAUUUAUACAUUGGCGGAGCCAGUUCAGGACUAGUGAGGGCCCGUGCCCCCAUUAGAUUUCAACAUAUAGCUGUGUUUUGAUCUGAUGUGCCCCCAUUCCCUCACUAGAAAUCUUACAAUUGUAUUGGUUUAAUAUAUAAAAAUUUCAUAAAGCCCCACAAUUCCCACAAAACAAGAGAAAAAGGAAGCUAUGCACUCUUGAAUAUAUAAUUGAAAAGUUUAAAAUAUGAAAAUCAAGUCGUUUGCUGCGUUAAUGUCAAAAAAAAAGAAGGAGAAAUUACUGGUCACUCCAUUAACUUUCAUGCGCUCGACAGUUUACUCCAUUAACUUUCAAUUUCAAUCGAUCACUCCUCAAACUAUCCAAUGUCACACAAUUAGGUCCAUCCGUUAAGUGGCCGUCCAAAUCAGUGGUUAAGUCGCUGACUGGACAUAUUUUUUAACUGGAAAUUCUAUUUAAUACCCACCUCUCUCUCUCUCNCUCNCUCUNNNCNNCUCNNNNNNNUNUNUNNUNUNUNUCUCUCUCUCUNUCUACUACUACUCUCUACUACUACUAUACUACUACUACUACUACGUACGUACUACUACUACGUACUACUAUAUACUACUAGUACUACGUACUACUACUAUACGUACGUACGUACGUACUACGUACGUACGUAACUACGUACGUAACUUACGUUAACUUAAGUUACGUUAAGUUAGUACUACGUUACUAAGUACGUUACGUUACGUAGUAUAUUAUUAUAUAUAUUAUUACUACUACCUCUCUCUCUCUCUCUCUCUCUCUCUCUCUCUCUCAAAGUAGGCAUAUUUCAUGAAGCCAACUUCAGAUGAAUCAAAUAAACUCCUGUGAACCACUUACUGGUUGUUUUAUGACAGAACAUUAAUGUAUGAUGUCGUGGCAACAGAAUUGAAACAACUCCUUCAUGAGAAACUUCCAAGAGCCCAGAAACCAACUCCACAAAAAGCUUUAUGAAAAGCUGAUGAUUUUUGUUGCCCAGGAUGCCAACUAUAUGCACGAUUUACGCCAUGCUCUGAUGCAGUGGCGUAGCUAGAAACUCGAUUUAGAAGGGUCAAGACUUAAACGGCUAUUAAGGUAAGACAAAAUAUCGAUAACCUAGUUGUUUCAUGUAAAAUCUUUUAAUAGUUGACUUAUACCUAACUUUAUAAAUUACCUCAUUCGAUUGAUUCAUUAGAGAAACAUCGAUUAUAAAUUGCUUUUUCCUUUGCAUUUAUAGAAAUUAAGAAGGAAUUUAUCAAACAUUACAACUAGAAAGGGAAAUAAUAUUAUUUGUUAGAACUUAAUUAGGAGGGUCAUUUCUAUAUAAAAUUUAACUAAUCCACCAAAGAUUACACAUGAGAAGGGUCACUUGACCCUUCUCGGCCCCCUCUCCCUACGCCCCUGCUCUGAUGACGUUUCUGAUCAGUUCUUGACCUGGGAUUGUAGUACAACAAUGUACUUGAAGGAUUGAUGAAGAUAAUGGCCAAAUAAACCAUGAAAGAUGGCACGGAUGAUCUCACACAACAUCUCCAGGAAAGCUGAUUCUGAAAUUUCCAGCUUUUGCUUAUUAAUUGGCUGACUUCUUGAGCUUGUAUCUUGAUCGUCCCAUGGCUGAUAUGGAUGACUCUUGAUUCCACAAUGUUCUAUGACAUCACAUGUUGAUGUGAAAAUCAAUACCUCAAUGAUAGGUACGCGUUAAGACAAAGAAGCAAAGCCACAAAACACAAUGUAGUUAAGUUCUGGAAAAAGGCUGUUUUAAGCUGUCAACUUCUGGAGCUCAUAACUCAUGCUACAAAGCAGCGAAUGGCAUGAUUCUUUUUCAGAUUUGAAGUCCAAUAUCAUGGCUCAAUAAUGGUGUAGGGCGAACAGACAUUAAACCCUUGCAAGGAAGCGCGAAUGAGCCACGAAAAUGCCUCAGAGGAGGCCUAACUAUCUGAAACUUUCAGAAUUCUGCAUUGUAGGGGCUGACUUCCUUAACGAGCUCCAUGAGCUUUCCUUGUGAUUUCUGAGCAAAAUAAUAGCUGAAUUUGAAACCAAGACGAAUUUUUAAACCAAACCGGAAGACUGAGGGAGAUCUCUUGAAACCAAACCGGAGGGCGUUGGUGCGGUUGGUGGCGAGAGGUGGGACCAACACGUUGGGGAUGGUGAGGAGGAGGGUGGUGUUGGAGUAGAGGAAGGCGCGGACGAGGUUGGGGUCAGAGAUGUCAAGGCGAAGGGCGGCGAGGCCGAGGGAAGUUACGGUCGAGGCCACGUGCUCUAGUAGCGGAGGGGGUAGGUGGCGACGGUGGAGGCGGAAUAGGUGACGCCGAUGGUGGUGGAGGAGGCGGCAUCCGGCGAGGCGGUUGCGACGAGGAAGAGGAGGGUGAUGAGAGAAAAUGUGGAGAGAGAAAAGUGGGAAGCCAUGGCUGGCUAAUGGGUUUUAAAUGCGAGAGAGAGAGAGAGAGAGAGAGAGAGAGAGAGAGAGAGAGAGAGAGNNNNNNNNNNNNNNNNNNNNNNNNNNNNNNNNNNNNNNNNNNNNNNNNNNNNNNNNNNNNNNNNNNNNNNNNNNNNNNNNNNNNNNNNNNNNNNNNNNNNNNNAAAAAAAAAAGUCAUUUUGUUGCGUUUCUUUUCCUGAAAACUCCAACACAACGAGCUAAGACAAAUUUUGCCCCCAUACAGGUUUUGUUUCUCCCUCCGGCAUUGUAUUUAUACCUAUCGACAUGAAAGAUAUUGUGAAUGAUAAUUUAGUUUCGCACCAUUUCAGUCCAUGCUAGAUAGAGAUAAGAGAAGGAGACGCACAAAAUUGAUAUAAAAUUGAAAAGUUAAAAAGUUUUUUACAUUAAUAAAAUUGAAAUUAUUCCUAACAUAUUUACCAUUAUUAACCAACCAUUUUAUUAUCGGGAGACACCAACUGUUUGUGGAUCCCAAUUCACAAUAAUAAAAUAUUAAUUAUAACAAAAUAAUUAGUCAUUUUUGAUCUGAUUACUUUUUGUUUCCCUUACCUAUAAAUGGGACACCUGGGGUUCACAUUUUGAAAUCAACUCAUAUUAAGUAACUUUUAUUGAUGCAACACAUCAAAUACGAGAUCUGAUAGAAAGCUGGGAGGGGUCCAGACCCCAUCGGCCUUAGAUGUAGUUCCGCCCCUGCCUUCAAGUGUUUCAUUGUAGCUUGUGGCUAUGCGAAGAUGCAACUGAUUGUAUCCUUGUACAACAUGAAUUCAAUAAAGAUGACCUGUCUUUUAGCUAUGUAAUGAUCAUUAUUCUUUCCGGCUUAAAAUGAAAAAUUUGAGACAUUUUUUUUCUCUUAAAAUAGAAAAAAAAAAAAUACACAAAAAAAGAAGAAAUUGUGCCAACAGGUGCACGACGUCACUCUGCUUCUGCAUUUUCAAUUUUCAAAGAAAGACAACAUAUUAUGGCUACAAGUCAGCACUGGCAGCUCAGUGAACCACAAACCACGUAACUCCGCACGUCACUGAGCAUCUAAUCAUCAUUAUACAAGCCCACGAGCUUCGGAAAAGCUAAAGCAGGACAGUGACAAUGGACCCAAUCGUUUCCAAGUAGCCGACUUUGUCUUCUAGUUCACUCUCAAACGUAUAUAGCCCAAUUGUGUCUUCCAUUCAUUUCCAAACCAGAACAACUAGAGCUCCAACAGCUUGAAGUACCUAGAUUGCAAGACCAGAUAGAUGGCUAACCAAGCUCCCACACUUCCUCUCCUUACUCCUUACAAGUUGGGAAAGUUUGAUCUUUCUCACAGGUAAACUUUGCCUAAAUCUUUGUCUCUCUGCAUUUUUACAUUGGUUGAUUAUUGCAGUGCCCAAGAACAUGUUUUGCUUUUUCAUCUUCCAAAUUUCAUUUGGGUCAUAAUAUGAUCUGGGUUUUAGUUUAUAAAUUGAGACCAUUGUGUGUGUCAAAAGUCCAAAUUGAACAACAAUAAGAAAGUUUACUGCUUUAGUAUAAAUAAGUCUUGCGUUGUGAUUGGUUUGAAAUACUUGCUCAAUCUUACUUUGCAUUGCUAAGACCCAAAAAAUUGUUGGGUUUGGUUGAAUUUGUGUGUUGGGGAUAUGAUUUGCAUGAUUUUGUCUGGGUUUGGUUCUGUAAACUUAGAAGACCAGGUGUUUGAGGGAAGUUCCAAAUGAGAAAAUGAGGAAAUUGGAAAUGUGCACUGCUUUUUGUGUAUUGUAAAUGAAAUUCUUCACUGGUAGUCUAGCAUCUUUUUAAUCAUGGGUUGUUUGUUCUUUUAGUGUGAGCGAACAAUGGAGAUGAUAAUCUUGAACCUUGAUUCGCUGGGUCUGUACACUAUUGUUUCUAGCAUUAGCAUAUUCUCAUCACUUCUAAAUUUAGAUGGCCAAUAGUUUGGGGAAAUCCCAAUUAGUGAACAAGGACUGGAAAAAGUUGACUGCUUUUGUGAUUUCUCAAAUUAGUUUAGCUAUGGUCUUUGGUUGUGGAUUAGCUUAGCUUACAUUACAUCAGCGGUAAUAUUUUUGUAGUAGUUUAGCAUCUUCUGCCACCAUGCAUUUGUUCGAUCUUUAAGUUUGUGUGAACAAUGGAGGCCAUACUUUCAAACCUUGGACAUAUCAAAAAUCUAAAGUCAGUGUUAUUUGUGUAAUUGGAACACUGCACAUAGUAUAUGUGGUCAGCGGUAAAAGGACAGAAAUUAGAAUCAAUAAGCUUCACAUCUUGAAACAAAUUGUCUGCAUAUCUGAUUAGUAAGACGACACAUCAGACGGGGAUAGUACAUGUGCAAGGUGUGAAGCGGGGAAGGGUUUAUUACAACUGAACUAUGCCGCUUUGAAUUCAUCGUUGAAUUUCUUUUUUAAUUGCAGUUGAUAAAUAUGUGUCCUUCUUGAGCAUUUCAUUAUCUGUUUUAUGUUUGGUAAUGUUUCAUAUUUUGUUCGGCUAAGAUAAUUUGAUAAUUUUCUGUCGCUAGUUAUGUUAGGUCUUUUAAACUUAUCACUGCUCAUGUAGAUGUAAUUCCAUAAAAACUGCCUAUGUCUUGAAGAAACUAUUGAUGGUUAUUGAUAAGUGUUUACUUUGUUUAUCCAUUCCAGAGUUGUUUUAGCACCAUUGACUAGACAGAGAUCAUACAGAAAUGUUCCCCAGCCACAUGCCAUCUUAUAUUACUCUCAGAGAACAUCCAAAGGGGGUCUUCUCAUAAGUGAAGCCACUGGAGUUUCAGACACAGCACAAGGGUAACUUAAUCAUAAAGAAUAGCUAUCAUGUUUCUUUCUGUAAAAUUCUAAAUCACAAGAUGCAUUAGAAUUUUUUUUUGGUCGAAGAUGCAGUAGAAUUUGCAAUUUCCCCAUUUCAAAACUUGACACUUGUUGUUUCUUUUGUAUAUUAAGGUAUCCAGAUACUCCUGGUAUAUGGACCAAGGAGCAAGUUGAAGCAUGGAAACCCAUUGUCAAUGCUGUACAUGCUAAAGGGGGUAUCUUCAUCUGUCAGAUUUGGCAUGUCGGGAGGGUUUCAAAUAGUGGUGCGUCCCUGACUUAUACAUUUAUGACAUGACUUUAUCAUGGAAACCCAUGCGUGUAGUGACUUAUUAGACUAGUGAUACAUGAUUAUGUUUGAUUGGGUCCAGAGAACCUGCAUGCAUAGUAUCUGUAUUAUACCGAACGAUCUAAAACCUAUCCUUUUAUAAACAUCUUUUUCAGUAAUAUUAUUAUUUAUCAACGUUGCUUCUGUUAUGGGGUUGCUGUAUAUCAAUGAAUUUAAUAUUUCUUCAAUAUAAUCUGUUGUGUUCUCAUAGUGAUUCUAUCCCUCUUUGCUUAUAGGCUAUCAGCCGAAUGGGCAAGCUCCAAUCUCUUCUACUGACAAGCCCCUAACCCCCCAGAUACGAGCUAAUGGCAUUGAUGUUGCGCAAUUCACACCUCCAAGACGAUUAAGGACAGAUGAAAUUCCUCAAAUUGUCAAUGAUUUUAGACUUGCUGCAAGGAAUGCAAUGGAAGCUGGUAAUAUUUGUUCAAGUUAAAUAUGAAAUAAAUUUACAUGGUCCAUUUACAGAAACGUAUUAUAUCAAAGUGGGGUGCCAAUAGUAUCUUGUUUGAGGAUGAAAAAAAUGUAGUGGAAAAUAUCAAUUUCUUACUUUUACUAUGUUAUAUGAUAAAUAAAUUAUCAUGGUCUCUUUGUAUAUGUUUUUGGUGAUGACAAGUUUCACAAGUUUUCAAUACACUAAUGUUAUUUUUUUAUGAUUUUCAGGCUUUGAUGGGGUUGAAAUCCAUGGCGCCCAUGGCUACCUAAUCGAUCAAUUUUUAAAAGAUGAAGUAAAUGAUCGAACAGACCAAUAUGGUGGGUCUCUAGAAAACCGUUGCCGAUUUGCACUAGACAUUGUUGAAGCUAUUGUCAACGAGAUAGGAGCAGAUAAAGUUGGAAUUAGAUUAUCUCCAUUUGCCAACUAUAUGGAAUCCGGAGAUUCUAAUCCAAAGGAAUUGGGACUCUAUCUAGCCAAUGCCUUGAACAAAUAUGGAAUCCUGUACUGCCACAUGGUUGAGCCAAGAAUGAAGACAGUUGGAGAAAAGUUUGAAUGUCCCCACAGUCUUGUACCCAUGAGAAAGGCUUUUAAUGGUACCUUCAUUGCUGCUGGUGGUUUUGACAGGGACGAUGGGAACAAUGCUGUUGCUGAAGGCCGUGCAGAUCUUAUAGCUUUCGGUCGUUGGUUCUUAGCUAAUCCGGACUUGCCAAAGAGAUUUGAGCUCAAUGCUCCUUUAAACAAGUACAACAGAGAUACUUUCUACAUAUCUGAUCCGGUUCUUGGUUACACUGAUUAUCCAUUUCUCGACAGCAAUGCUCGAGUAUCCAGCUGAGUAUGGAAGCUUGAACCCUUAUACUUUAUUCCUGCAUUGGUCUGCUUUAAAGUUUUUGUGUUACUUUUCUUUCCCAGCAUCUACACCUAAAAAAAUAUAAGUAGCAAAUACAAAGUUGCCGAGGCUGGUUAACCAGACUGUAGAGUUCUCAAUUCUUGUAGUGUGGCUGGUUGAUAUUGCAAGUCGUUGUACUCUGCAAGUGCGGGGUCAAGUGUCUUAUUGUAGAUUGUUGCUACGUGAAGAUGCAAACUGAAUGUAGCCCCUUGUACAAGAUGAAUUCAAUAAAAAUGGCCUGUCGUUUGACAUGUACCAACUGCUGGAUCUCCUGUUAAACAAAAUGAGAUGGUGAAGAUGAAUUUCUGUAUAUUGCAAUAGCAUAUCAACAGUACAAGGCUAACUAAUAUAUACAAGAUAGAGCUAAAAUCUCUCUAGCCUUAAUGUUAAUUGUGUUUAGAUCCACAAAUCAAUCCUAUCACAUAUUUGGAUGCCAACUACAGAUAAAUGCAUAUCAGCAACAUGAAUGCAGAUUUUCCUUUAAUACCUAUACCUGUUUUUGUGUAUCUUAAUGAUGAGAAUCAUUGAGAGAUACCUGACUAACCUGAGGAAACAAUGACUUAUGAACUUUGCUGUUGACUGUGACAUUGCCUUGCAAGUGAAAAUACAUUACAAGUUGCAUGAUCACGAUUCAUCAUCAUCUUAUUAGAUCAAACCGCUGUAUGAAGAUCAAGUUUUAUCUUUCCUGGUGAUUGGUGAGCUUGUAGAGUUGUAGCCAAGCUUUUACUUUGAUAGAAUUAUGGAUUGUGAAUUUGGGCAGGUCUAGAGUGUGUAGAUGGUGAAGAAGGCAUGGAAUUAUCUCUUCCAGAUUCCAGACACACAUGUACAAGUUCUAAUUAUUUCACAGGUAGAUUUUCCUCUUCAAUCUCUACUCCUUGGUUGAACUGUAGUUUCCCCUGAAACUGUAAGAGCUUGGGACAUUUCAUUUUCUGAGGAACUGCCAUCUUCUCUGCUUGUUGGCAAUUCCUGGAUUGUUUUAGGCAAUUAGGAACGUUAGGUGGGGAUUAUACUGGAUAAGUAGGCAAUUUUUGGUUACUGUUGCCUACUGAAGGUAUAAAGACAGACCUGGGUAUUUUAUUCAUAUUUUCUUAGACAAAACGAAAAAAUAAACCAACCAAAUAAAUCAGUGAACUGUUACAUGUCUGCUCUCAAGCUUCCACUACUCCUCAUUUUAUUCCAUACAAAUUGGGAAAGUUCAAUCUUUUUCAUAGGCAGUUAGUGUUCUGUGCGUUUCACAUUGUAUUGGGUCAUUCUGUUGGUACGUGCAGGAAUCACCCAUACGACUAAUGGCCUUGUCAUGCUGCAAAUGAGGUUUCUCUAUUUAGAAGCAAGUCAUUCCGGAAAGUCCCACUUGGCUAAAAAGCACAAAUGGGUUUAGUGUUCUGUAAGUUUUAGUUUACUGGCUUGUUUAUUUUGUUGUGUUUGUCAAAUGUAGUCUAUCAUUCACUACACAUUUAUUCAAAAGGCAACUGAAAAGUCGUCGAGUAUUAUUCGACAGGAUAUAUAUGAUGCAACUUCACUUCUACCCCUCUAUGUAUAUAGAUACCUCAUUUGCAAAAAGCAUUUUAUAGUUGCAUGAAGAAGAGUGCAUAUCCAACUGUGUGAUUGUUCUUACUGAUCUUGUUGUUGUUGUCAUGGGAUCAGAGUGUUUUGUUGAUUAAUUGAUAAUUUGGUGAUAUGAUUAUGAGAGGCCGACGAUCCCGGCAAGGAUGGCGGAGAAGCGGAGGAGGAAGAGGCCGUAAUGGGUGUUGCCAUUAGGUUUAGGGGAGGUGGGUAAGGAGACGAAGGUGGUCGUAAUGACGGAGAUAUCGGAGAUUGGGGCGGCCGAGUUUGGGUUGGAGAAAGGGAAAGAGAAGAGACCGGGUUUGGAGUUGGGCCGGGUUUGGAUUUUGGGUUGGUUUUGUGUUUGAGGUUUGAGGUUUGAGGUUUAGAGUUCGGGGUCUUGGGGUUUACGGUUGGAAAUGAAAACGAAAAUGAAAUUUCUAUAUACUAGAUCAUUUUUAGAGAAGAUAUAGAUUAUUAUUUUUUGAACAGGGACUAAACGGCCGUCUUCAUGCCUUAACCAUUAACGAAACCAUUGAAUACAAGGGGGGAUAUAAAGUCUAAAUCCCAAAUUACCUAAACAUCCCGAAAUAAUAACAGGAGUUUUCAAUUCUAUGCAUUCUAACAAACACUAUUUAUUAAGGAGUGCAUCAUUCGCUACUCUAUUUGUUUUACAGUUUUGGCGAUAUGCCGAAAAGACAAUGCUCAUGAGGACCCAUAAGUUGCCACUGGAAAAUAUUAUCAGUGACACUGAGUUUCAUCUCGUCAUUAAGAGGCUGCGACCAUUUUGAUGAAGCAAGAAACUCUAUCACAAAAUUCUUUUUCAUUUUUUAGAGAAUGAACGAAAUUUUAUCUUUCCGAUGGAGUGAAUUUUUUUUUUUUAUUUCAAUGGGCUUUAUUUAUCAAAAGAAAAAAAGCAUACCAAUAAUAAAAGAAAUAAAUAAACUAAAUUAAAUUGUUAUAAUAAAGCGGUGUGUAGAUAAAUGGCUAAGAUCACUCUAUUACAAAAUUCUUUUUCACUCGGUAAUUUUUGUGAUUUGAAACUUACAAAUUUUAAUCAACAACUCUGGGAUUUGAAAAAUACUGUGAAAUUUUAAAUAUACUUCAAAUUUUUACAUGGAUUCUUUUCCAUGCUUACAUUGGAAGUUGGAAUUUUUAUUUUCAUAUAUUUAUGACGGUAUAACUUGUUUAGUAUGUUAUAUGCAAAUGUAUAUAAUUGUGAACCAACUAUACAGAGAAAGCAAAUUUUUCGAAACUCUUGAGAAAUAAGAUGUGUUCGAAAUAGUGAAAUACAAUUAGGGUUGAAAAAUCAAAAGUUUCCGUUUUUAAACCCUGAUAAAAACAGUCAACUCCUAAGGGGAGCCUAACCACUGGAGGGACAAUUCAACAAAAAAAAAUAAAAAUUCAUGGGAUCAUAAAUCUCAUAUAUACGAGCUUUUUUUUCGAAAGGGAAAUUUUAUUUACACAUUCUAUUUUUCUUAAUACACACCUCUUUCUCUUUUUUUGCCACAUUUUCCCUAUUUUUUCCUCUUUUACCCUUCUCUCACAUAGUCUGCAACUUCGUCUUUAUGAUCUAUGCUCUGCAGCAUCAGAAACACAACAACUCCAUCUCUUAGUGUUGAACCCCAUCUCUUUCCUUAUGGAACUCUACAAUCUCGUUAUCUUGGGAUAAUUAUGGUUGACGAAUUCAAUUUGACAAACCUCAUAUACAUAAUCCGAUUAAUCCCCAAUAAGUUGCUGUUCUAAACCUAAAUGUGUAUAUAUAAACAUCAUAUCUCCAUAUCUUUGUAAAUUAGUUUCAGCAUGCUUUGCUAAUCCUAUAUUCACUUGCAAGCUUAUGAGCUUUAGAAAGAUGAUUCAUUUGUUUAAGCAAUGGUUUUUUUUUUUCCUUAUCAUUCAGUAUGGCACUACGCUCAUAUAUGGCCAUAUAAAAAUACAUAAUACUCUUGGUAUGAUAAACAUUAUCAUCACAAAUGAGUACUAGUAAGAUGGAAUGAUUACUUGCCGGCAGCCCUCCAAUCUAAAGUCAUUAGAUUGUAUGGAGUUAGAUAUAUGCUGUUAGUUUUUCAUUGAAAGAAGAGGGUAAAACGGUGAUUUAUGAAUUUAUAAAAAUAGGGGUUUGUAUGUAAGAAUUAGUGAUGUGUUAAUAAAAUUUCUCUUUUCGAAAACAGAAAAGAAAAAAAAGAAAAUAAGGUCUCGCAUAUUUAAGGUCGACCGAUUGGAUGAGAGGCGUAACAAAUCGCGCAUGCAUGGAACUUGGAGAGAGAUCGAAGACGAGGAGACUCAGCGGUCUUCUGCGUUUUCCGGCUACGUUUCGGUCUACUCAAAGCGGAGGAGGAAACCCAGAUAUCAAAAGGCAAAACCCAUGUUGAUGGUGUUGGGAGAAACCCAAAAAUCAUGCAGACCCUUUCUCACCCUAAUUGGCCUACUAACAGUUACAGAAACUUAAACCCCACCAAUCUUCUCUUCUUCUCCUUCCUCGAACUUGUACAGCCAACACCACCACCACAUAAUUGAAGACCAACAUCCCCGGAGGACGAAGGGAAUUAUAACAGCCACAACCGAUUGCGUCUGUGGCUUGGGUCCUGCAAGCUGAUCCACGUGUUGAAAUGAACGGUCAGGAUGCCUAGUCGUGCAUAGAAUAGUCUUCGGUAAACGACGUCACUCUCUGCUUCGGCAUUUUCAAUUUUCAAUUUUCAAAGAAAGAGAACAUAACUUUGUGUCCAAGUAUCCGACUUUGUCUUCUAGUUCACUCUCAAACGUAUAAAAAGAUUAAAAACCCAAUGGUUUCUUCCAUUCCUUAACAGAACUACUGAAACUCGAACAACUUGAUUGAAUAUUAGAUAGAUGGCUAACCAAGCUCCCACACUUCCUCUCCUUACCCCCUACAAGUUGGGAAAGUUCGAUCUUUCUCACAGGUAGGCUUUGCUUAAAUCUUUGUCUCUCUGCAUUUUUACUAUGCCGCUUUGAAUUCAUCGUUGAAUUUCUUUUUUAAUUGCAAUUGAUAAAUAUGUGUCCUUCUUGAGCAUUUCAUUAUCUGUUUUAUGUUUGGUAAUGUUUCAUAUUUUGUUCGGCUUAGCUAGUUAUGCUAGCUCUUUCAAACUUGUCACCGGUCAUGUAGAUGUAAUCCCAUAGAUACUGUCUAUGUCUUGAAGAAAGUAUUGAUGGUUGUAUUGAUAAGUGUUUACUUUGUUUAUCCAUUCCAGAAUUGUUUUAGCACCAUUGACUAGAUCGAGAUCAUACGGAAAUGUUCCCCAGCCGCAUGCCAUCCUAUAUUACUCUCAGAGAACAUCCAAAGGGGGUCUUCUCAUAAGUGAAGCCACUGGAGUUUCAGACACAGCACAAGGGUAACUUAAUCAUAAAGAAUAGCUAUCAUGUUUCUUUCUGUAAAACUCUAAAUCACAAGAUGCAGUAGAAUUUGCAAUUUCCCCAUUUCAAAACUUGACACUUGUUGUUUCUUUUGUAUAUUAAGGUAUCCAGAUACUCCUGGUAUAUGGACCAAGGAGCAAGUUGAAGCAUGGAAACCCAUUGUCAAUGCUGUACAUGCUAAAGGGGGUAUCUUCAUCUGUCAGAUUUGGCAUGUCGGGAGGGUUUCAAAUAGUGGUGCGUCCCUGACUUAUACAUUUAUGACAUGACUUUAUCAUGGAAACCCAUGCGUGUAGUGACUUAUUAGACUAGUGAUACAUGAUUAUGUUUGAUUGGGUCCAGAGAACCUGCAUGCAUAGUAUCUGUAUUAUACCGAACGAUCUAAAACCUAUCCUUUUAUAAACAUCUUUUUCAGUAAUAUUAUUAUUUAUCAACGUUGCUUCUGCUAUGGGGUUGCUGUAUAUCAAUGAAUUUAAUAUUUCUUCAAUAUAAUCUGUUGUGUUCUCAUAGUGAUUCUAUCCCUCUUUGCUUAUAGGCUAUCAGCCGAAUGGGCAAGCUCCAGUCUCUUCUACUGACAAGCCCCUAACCCCCCAGAUACGAGGUAAUGGCAUUGACGUUGCGCAGUUCACACCUCCAAGACGAUUAAGGACAGAUGAAAUUCCUCAAAUUGUCAAUGAUUUUAGACUUGCUGCAAGGAAUGCAAUGGAAGCUGGUAAUAUUUGUUUAAGUUAAAUAUGAAAUAAAUUUACAUGUCCUUUUACUAAAACGUAUUAUAUCAAAGUGGGGUGCCAAUAAUAUCUUGUUUGAGGAUGAAAAAAAAAAUGUAGUGGAAAAUAUCAAUUUCUUACUUUUACUAUGUUAUUUGAUCAAUAAAAUAUCAUGGUCUCUUUGUUUCAAUUCAGUUAUUGGGUGAUGAAAUGUUUCAAAAAUAUUCAGUAACACCAAUGUUAUUGUUUGUUGAUAUCGAUUUUCAGGCUUUGAUGGGGUUGAAAUCCAUGGCGCCCAUGGCUACCUAAUCGAACAAUUUUUAAAAGAUGAAGUAAAUGAUCGAACAGACCAAUAUGGUGGGUCUCUAGAAAACCGUUGCCGAUUUGCACUAGACAUUGUUGAAGCUGUUGUCAACGAGAUAGGAGCAGAUAAAGUUGGAAUUAGAUUCUCUCCAUUUUCCGACUAUAUGGA
This 41726-nucleotide long non-coding RNA is filed under the name Fragaria vesca (wild strawberry). RNAcentral's name for it is "long non-coding RNA (FVES_LNC001410)". Lineage: Eukaryota; Viridiplantae; Streptophyta; Magnoliopsida; Rosales; Rosaceae. The record is from RNAcentral.